RNAcentral lists this ribosomal RNA (138 nucleotides) under Gammaproteobacteria bacterium. RNAcentral's name for it is "partial 16S ribosomal RNA". It matches the Rfam family "Bacterial small subunit ribosomal RNA", at positions 1 to 130 of the family's 1533-position model. Lineage: Bacteria; Pseudomonadati; Pseudomonadota; Gammaproteobacteria. The record is from RNAcentral.
UAAUUGAAGAGUUUGAUCCUGGCUCAGAUUGAACGCUGGCGGCAUGCCUAACACAUGCAAGUCGAACGGCAGCAUGACGUGUAGCAAUACACGUUGAUGGCGAGUGGCGGACGGGUGAGUAAUGCAUGGGAAUCUGCC